Molecule: ribosomal RNA, 253 nt
Filed under: uncultured bacterium
Lineage: Bacteria
Description: partial 16S ribosomal RNA
Rfam family: Bacterial small subunit ribosomal RNA
Source: RNAcentral
UACGUAGGGGGCAAGCGUUGUCCGGAUUUAUUGGGCGUAAAGAGCGUGUAGGCGGCCUGACAGGUCUGCUGUGAAAACUCGAGGCUCAACCUCGAGAUGUCGGCGGAAACCGUCUGGCUAGAGUCCGGAAGAGGAGAGUGGAAUUCCUGGUGUAGCGGUGAAAUGCGCAGAUAUCAGGAAGAACACCCGUGGCGAAAGCGGCUCGCUGGAACGGUACUGACGCUGAGACGCGAAAGCGUGGGGAGCGAACAGG